GCCGCAAUCGCCGCGCGGAUGAGCGGCAGCGUGGUCGCGUCCCGCUCCGGGUCGGUGAGAUUGUUGGCCGGCGGUUCCGGCCCGUCAUAGUGGUGC
Molecule: transfer RNA, 96 nt
Filed under: Aliidongia dinghuensis
Lineage: Bacteria; Pseudomonadati; Pseudomonadota; Alphaproteobacteria; Rhodospirillales; Dongiaceae
Description: tRNA-Ala
Source: RNAcentral